RNAcentral lists this ribosomal RNA (742 nucleotides) under uncultured eukaryote. RNAcentral describes it as "bacterial SSU rRNA". It matches the Rfam family "Eukaryotic small subunit ribosomal RNA", at positions 669 to 1427 of the family's 1831-position model. The record is from RNAcentral.
UGGCGAGUACUGAGCAUAAGCUUCCUUCCUUGAGGAUUCAAGUGAGCGGCGGGUAAAACCGUCGUUUCGCUCCUCAUCGUUUACUUUGAGAAAUUAGAGUGUUCAAGCAGCAUAACUCAGUCUUGAAUAUUGCAGCUUGGGAUAUGAAACAGGACGAGAGUUCUAUUUUGUUGUUUCUAGGGCUUUUGUAAUGAUUAAAAGGGACAGUUGGGGGCAUUAGUAUUCAGUUGUCAGAGGUGAAAUUCUAGGAUUUACUGAAGACUAACUACUGCGAAAGCAUUUGCCAAGGAUGUUUUCAUUAAUCAAGAACGAAAGUAGGGGGACCGAAGAUGAUCAGAUACCGUCGUAGUCUCUACCAUAAACUAUGCCGACCAGGGAUUCGGAGAAGUUACGUGGAUGACUCCCCGAGCACCUUGUGAGAAAUCAUAAGUUGUUGGGUUCUGGGGGGAGUAUGGUCGCAAGGCUGAAACUUAAAGGAAUUGACGGAAGGGCACCACCAGGCGUGGAACCUGCGGCUUAAUUUGACUCAACACGGGGAAACUUACCAGGUCCAGACACAGUGAGGAUUGACAGAUUGAGAGCUCUUUCUUGAUUCUGUGGGUGGUGGUGCAUGGCCGUUCUUAGUUGGUGGAGUGAUUUGUCUGGUUAAUUCCGUUAACGAACGAGACCUUAACCUGCUAAAUAGUCCAUGUUAGAUUUCGGUCUAGCAUGUCAUUUUUGACUUCUUAGAGGGACUAUUCGA